AUGCCCCACCUUGUAGCUAAGAUAAUGAUGCCACAAAACCUGAUGUUACAUUGUUGUCAUGCUGCUACCUCCUACAUCAAUCCAAAACUAUUCUACAGCCUGCUUCAUACCCUUCUGCUCUGCACCAUACAGCAGUUCACAAAACCCUUUGCUCAGCUUGCAAGUCUGCAUCAAACUUGUCCAACAAUUACACAAAAGAUGUCAAACAUAAAGUGCAUUAGAAAGUGCUAA
Non-coding RNA from Vicia faba (fava bean), 231 nucleotides. Lineage: Eukaryota; Viridiplantae; Streptophyta; Magnoliopsida; Fabales; Fabaceae. The record is from the annotation of a GenBank genome assembly.